UGAUUAGAGUGAUUCAAGUGACAAUGGGUAUAUUUUUUGCUUCAGGGAUCUUUGCCUAUAGAAAACCCGCUAUCAUGAAAGGAUUCAAUUUGCGGUUACCCCCAAAGAUAGUGAAAAGGGGACGGCCUAAGGGGGCAGAAGUUACUGUAAUUGGUUUACCAAAAAAAAGAUCAUCAAGAGUCAUACCUUUUCUCAAAAGAGCACCUAAGGAAAAGGAGAAGGCGAUUCUAUCAUGGAUUCUGAGGGACGAAAACGGCACACUUGAUGACAUUAUUUCUGAUAAAACACAGGCCGAUGCCAAUAAUCUUCUAGAUGCUUCGUUAAUAAAUAACAAAAUAUUUGACGAAAAUGUAAACCUUCAGCGCAUCAAAAAAUAUUUUACCUCUGAAGCGUGGAAACAACUUAAAAUUCGGAUCAACGAAAGAAGAGAAUCGUGCAAAUGGAUAUGUAUCAAAUGUAAAAAAAACCUACAUGAUCAGGACUCUUUGGCCUGUGAUUGUUGUUUGGACUGGCAACAUUUGAAAUGUGCAGGGUUGAAAUAUGUGCCAAAACAAUCAUAUUGGAUAUGUAAAAUUUGUUCCAAGUCUUAAUUAGUUACAUGAAUCUUUUAUAAUUGGUUUAAUUUGACAUUAUUACUUGCUUCUUUAAUUUUUAUAUAGACACCCAAGCUUUAAUUUUAGUCAUUUAAGAUAUUUGAAAAUUUCAGUUUCUUUUUUAUAUUUUACUAAAAGAUUAUUUUUAAAUCUCAUAUGGGUAUUUUUCAAAAUCAGUAAAAUUUUAUUCUUUAGAUUUGCAUUUACAUUUUAUAAUAGUAUUAAUUUUUAUCAUGUUUUUCUUUUACAGGGACUGUACAGUUUCAUUUUCCAUCAGUGUGCAAUGUUAAUUAUGUAUCAUUAUCUAAUAAAUACAAUUUGAAAAUAUUAUUUUUCAUACUCUUCACUCGUUCUACACGAAAUCCCCAUAUUAUCGAUACUUUCCGUAUAUAUUUCACGUUUCAUUCCCGAUCCGAUGGCAUUUUAUUAUAAAACCGGAUGUGGGUACGCGUAGCCUAUGAAUGGCAAUUUGACUAUUCGUACCCGCAUGCGGGUACGCGCAGACACUGCCUUUCGCGGAACCCAGUGUCUCGCCUACUUUUGCUGUUAGUCGCAGGCUCAACAAAAAUGGGG
This is a long non-coding RNA of Mytilus californianus (California mussel), 1166 nucleotides long. RefSeq lists it as uncharacterized. The transcript has 3 exons. Lineage: Eukaryota; Metazoa; Mollusca; Bivalvia; Mytilida; Mytilidae. The record is from RefSeq and is a predicted model, not a curated record.